GGUUAAGCGACUAAGCGUACACGGUGGAUGCCCUGGCAGUCAGAGGCGAUGAAGGACGUGCUAAUCUGCGAUAAGCGUCGGUAAGGUGAUAUGAACCGUUAUAACCGGCGAUUUCCGAAUGGGGAAACCCAGUGUGAUUCGUCACACUAUCAUUAACUGAAUCCAUAGGUUAAUGAGGCGAACCGGGGAACUGAAACAUCUAAGUACCCCGAGGAAAAGAAAUCAACCGAGAUUCCCCCAGUAGCGGCGAGCGAACGGGGAGCAGCCCAGAGCCUGAAUCAGUGUGUGUGUUAGUGGAAGCGUCUGGAAAGGCGUGCGAUACAGGGUGACAGCCCCGUACACAAAAAUGCACAUACUGUGAGCUCGAUGAGUAGGGCGGGACACGUGGUAUCCUGUCUGAAUAUGGGGGACCAUCCUCCAAGGCUAAAUACUCCUGACUGACCGAUAGUGAACCAGUACCGUGAGGGAAAGGCGAAAAGAACCCCGGCGAGGGGAGUGAAAAAGAACCUGAAACCGUGUACGUACAAGCAGUGGGAGCACGCUUAGGCGUGUGACUGCGUACCUUUUGUAUAAUGGGUCAGCGACUUAUAUUCUGUAGCAAGGUUAACCGAAUAGGGAGCCGAAGGGAAACCGAGUCUUAACUGGGCGUUAAGUUGCAGGGUAUAGACCCGAAACCCGGUGAUCUAGCCAUGGGCAGGUUGAAGGUUGGGUAACACUAACUGGAGGACCGAACCGACUAAUGUUGAAAAAUUAGCGGAUGACUUGUGGCUGGGGGUGAAAGGCCAAUCAAACCGGGAGAUAGCUGGUUCUCCCCGAAAGCUAUUUAGGUAGCGCCUCGUGAAUUCAUCUCCGGGGGUAGAGCACUGUUUCGGCAAGGGGGUCAUCCCGACUUACCAACCCGAUGCAAACUGCGAAUACCGGAGAAUGUUAUCACGGGAGACACACGGCGGGUGCUAACGUCCGUCGUGAAGAGGGAAACAACCCAGACCGCCAGCUAAGGUCCCAAAGUCAUGGUUAAGUGGGAAACGAUGUGGGAAGGCCCAGACAGCCAGGAUGUUGGCUUAGAAGCAGCCAUCAUUUAAAGAAAGCGUAAUAGCUCACUGGUCGAGUCGGCCUGCGCGGAAGAUGUAACGGGGCUAAACCAUGCACCGAAGCUGCGGCAGCGACGCUUAUGCGUUGUUGGGUAGGGGAGCGUUCUGUAAGCCUGUGAAGGUGUGCUGUGAGGUAUGCUGGAGGUAUCAGAAGUGCGAAUGCUGACAUAAGUAACGAUAAAGCGGGUGAAAAGCCCGCUCGCCGGAAGACCAAGGGUUCCUGUCCAACGUUAAUCGGGGCAGGGUGAGUCGACCCCUAAGGCGAGGCCGAAAGGCGUAGUCGAUGGGAAACAGGUUAAUAUUCCUGUACUUGGUGUUACUGCGAAGGGGGACGGAGAAGGCUAUGUUGGCCGGGCGACGGUUGUCCCGGUUUAAGCGUGUAGGCUGGUUUUCCAGGCAAAUCCGGAAAAUCAAGGCCGAGGCGUGAUGACGAGGCACUACGGUGCUGAAGCAACAAAUGCCCUGCUUCCAGGAAAAGCCUCUAAGCAUCAGGUAACAUCAAAUCGUACCCCAAACCGACACAGGUGGUCAGGUAGAGAAUACCAAGGCGCUUGAGAGAACUCGGGUGAAGGAACUAGGCAAAAUGGUGCCGUAACUUCGGGAGAAGGCACGCUGAUACGUAGGUGAAGCGACUUGCUCGUGGAGCUGAAAUCAGUCGAAGAUACCAGCUGGCUGCAACUGUUUAUUAAAAACACAGCACUGUGCAAACACGAAAGUGGACGUAUACGGUGUGACGCCUGCCCGGUGCCGGAAGGUUAAUUGAUGGGGUUAGCGCAAGCGAAGCUCUUGAUCGAAGCCCCGGUAAACGGCGGCCGUAACUAUAACGGUCCUAAGGUAGCGAAAUUCCUUGUCGGGUAAGUUCCGACCUGCACGAAUGGCGUAAUGAUGGCCAGGCUGUCUCCACCCGAGACUCAGUGAAAUUGAACUCGCUGUGAAGAUGCAGUGUACCCGCGGCAAGACGGAAAGACCCCGUGAACCUUUACUAUAGCUUGACACUGAACAUUGAGCCUUGAUGUGUAGGAUAGGUGGGAGGCUUUGAAGUGUGGACGCCAGUCUGCAUGGAGCCGACCUUGAAAUACCACCCUUUAAUGUUUGAUGUUCUAACGUGGACCCGUGAUCCGGGUUGCGGACAGUGUCUGGUGGGUAGUUUGACUGGGGCGGUCUCCUCCUAAAGAGUAACGGAGGAGCACGAAGGUUGGCUAAUCCUGGUCGGACAUCAGGAGGUUAGUGCAAUGGCAUAAGCCAGCUUGACUGCGAGCGUGACGGCGCGAGCAGGUGCGAAAGCAGGUCAUAGUGAUCCGGUGGUUCUGAAUGGAAGGGCCAUCGCUCAACGGAUAAAAGGUACUCCGGGGAUAACAGGCUGAUACCGCCCAAGAGUUCAUAUCGACGGCGGUGUUUGGCACCUCGAUGUCGGCUCAUCACAUCCUGGGGCUGAAGUAGGUCCCAAGGGUAUGGCUGUUCGCCAUUUAAAGUGGUACGCGAGCUGGGUUUAGAACGUCGUGAGACAGUUCGGUCCCUAUCUGCCGUGGGCGCUGGAGAACUGAGGGGGGCUGCUCCUAGUACGAGAGGACCGGAGUGGACGCAUCACUGGUGUUCGGGUUGUCAUGCCAAUGGCACUGCCCGGUAGCUAAAUGCGGAAGAGAUAAGUGCUGAAAGCAUCUAAGCACGAAACUUGCCCCGAGAUGAGUUCUCCCUGACCCUUUAAGGGUCCUGAAGGAACGUUGAAGACGACGACGUUGAUAGGCCGGGUGUGUAAGCGCAGCGAUGCGUUGAGCUAACCGGUACUAAUGAACCGUGAGGCUUAACCUU
RNAcentral lists this ribosomal RNA (2900 nucleotides) under Shigella flexneri. Its description in RNAcentral is "23S ribosomal RNA". It matches the Rfam family "Bacterial large subunit ribosomal RNA". Lineage: Bacteria; Pseudomonadati; Pseudomonadota; Gammaproteobacteria; Enterobacterales; Enterobacteriaceae. The record is from RNAcentral.